Molecule: unclassified non-coding RNA, 20 nt
Filed under: Mus musculus (house mouse)
Lineage: Eukaryota; Metazoa; Chordata; Mammalia; Rodentia; Muridae
Description: oocyte_clustered_small_RNA5837
Source: RNAcentral
AAGCCUCAUGUGGUCUGCAA